GUUUGAUCAUGGCUCAGAAUCAACGCUGGCGGCGCGCUUAACACAUGCAAGUCGCACGAGAAAGUGGAGCAAUCCAUGAGUACAGUGGCGUACGGGUGAGUAACACGUGGAUGAUCUACCUCUUAGUGGGGAAUAACCCAGGGAAACCGGGGCUAAUACCGCAUAAGAUCGAGAGAGGAAAGCAGCAAUGCGCUGAGAGAGGAGUCCGCGGCCGAUUAGCUAGUUGGCAGGGUAAAAGCCUACCAAGGCAAAGAUCGGUAGCCGGCCUGAGAGGGCACACGGCCACACUGGCACUGAAACACGGGCCAGACUCCUACGGGAGGCAGCAGUGGGGAAUCUUGCACAAUGGGGGCAACCCUGAUGCAGCAACGCCGCGUGAGCGAUGAAGCCCUUCGGGGUGUAAAGCUCUUUCGGC
This 415-nucleotide ribosomal RNA is filed under the name uncultured Acidobacteriota bacterium. Its description in RNAcentral is "bacterial SSU rRNA". It matches the Rfam family "Bacterial small subunit ribosomal RNA", at positions 11 to 440 of the family's 1533-position model. The record is from RNAcentral. Lineage: Bacteria; Pseudomonadati; Acidobacteriota.